This 28-nucleotide non-coding RNA is filed under the name Mus musculus (house mouse). Lineage: Eukaryota; Metazoa; Chordata; Mammalia; Rodentia; Muridae. The record is from RNAcentral.
UGGUUCUGUCUAUCCCAUGGUCAAGGAC